Meriones unguiculatus (Mongolian gerbil) is the source of this 1403-nucleotide long non-coding RNA. RefSeq lists it as uncharacterized. The transcript has 3 exons. The record is from RefSeq and is a predicted model, not a curated record. NCBI's taxonomy places the organism in Eukaryota, Metazoa, Chordata, Mammalia, Rodentia, Muridae.
CUGUCACUGCAUUUCUUUCCUCAGACCCUGCUCCCCACCUCAGGCUCUCCUGACUUCCUGCCGUACCCACCGCUAAGACAAGAACCUCAGCUAAGCUGUCAGCACAAAUACAGAGCAGUGAAGGUCCUCUGAGAGACCAGGAUCUGUUUUCCCAAAACAGGCUUCACAUUUCCUCUCUCAUAGAAAUGCUUCAAAGAAGACUAAUGUGUUCUACGCUUGGAAAACGUCUGGGAGAUUCUGUUGACCCAAGCCUGAACUUCCCUGUUCUUCCCUUUCUCCCACGUAUCUCUUCCGGUAACCUGAAAGCCUGGGGCAACACAGGAGACAGGAUCUCGCUCUGCAGCCCAAGCUGGCCUGGAAAUAACUGCAGCCCAGGAUGGCCUCAAACUUACAUCAGUCCUCUGGAGAUUCCAGAUGUGGGUCAUGAUGCCAGCUGCAUACCUACAUUUGAGACAGAAAGUAAUAAACAAAAACAGGAGAAUUCAAGAACAAGAAGGUGUUUCUUCUUUCAUAUUUAAAAAAAAAAGUACAUGCAGAAGAACGAACAUGACAGCACUGUGUUGAAAAGAAGCAAUCUAGCUGCCCAUCCCUGUGGAAGACGGUAAAUAAAAGUGGUCCGUGAAACAGCUAGAGCAGAUCUGAUGCACACUUGGCAACACGGAUGGUUACCAAAAGUGUAGAGUUGAGCGGGGCCGUACAAUGGUGUCUAAAGCAGAAUGCAUCCACAAAACUCAAAAGCACGUGCCCGUAAAAAAAACACCACCCAUUCUGCAAGAGCAUAUGCAAGCCAAAUGAUACUCAUCAAACAGUUCAGACUGGCUAUUUCAGAGAGGAAGGGAAGAAGCAUGGGGUGAUGAAAACAAAGCCAGGAGUCUUUCAAGGCUAACCCAAUGGCUGGUCUCCUUCUCAAGCCCAUGGGAGGGUUGUAAUUCUCUGACCUCCUCUACCCUGUGGUUGGGAUACGACGUGGAAUUUCAGCUGUGAGUGGAAGUCGCAUGUGCUCAUUGCAGACCCAGAGCAUUUAAUUUGUGGCAGGAGGGCAUCCAAGGAUUUGGUGUACUGCUGCUGACAGUCAGAAAGCUAAGAAUUAAGGAGAAACUUCCACCAACUUGUAUUCCUGAGUGGCUAUAAAGGGCCCUCCCCCAGCCUCCCUCCUGCUAAUCUGUAUCAACACAUGGCAUUUUGGAGACGAAUAAAGUCUUCUUUUAAUAUCCUGGGAUUUGCAACUGUUGGUUGCUACAAAACAACACUAACAUACUCUGAUUUUUUUUUUCAAGACAGGGUUUCUCUGUGUAGCCUGGGGUGUCCUGGACUUGCAUGGUAGACCAGACUAGCCUCAAACUCACAGAGAUCCACCUGCCUCUUCCUCCCCAGUGAUGGGAUUACAGGCGUACGCUACUGUG